CUUACGGGGGGGUUCUUUUGGGAACCGGAACACAGGUGCUGCAUGGCUGUCGUCAGCUCGUGUCGUGAGAUGUUGGGUUAAGUCCCGCAACGAGCGCAACCCUUAUCCUUAGUUUCCAGCGGGUAAUGCCGGGGACUCUAAGGAGACCGCCGGUGAUAAACCGGAAGAAGGGGGGGGAGACGUCAAAUCUCAUGGCCCUUUAGGCCCGGGGUUCCCCCCUUCUAAAAUUGGGGGGUCAAAGGGGUGGGAAACCCCGAGGAGGAACCAACCCCAAAAAACCGCUCUCCUUUCGGAAUAGAGUCUGCAACCCCGCUCCAUUAAGAAGGAAUUCGUUUUAAUC
RNAcentral lists this ribosomal RNA (340 nucleotides) under uncultured bacterium. RNAcentral's name for it is "partial 16S ribosomal RNA". It matches the Rfam family "Bacterial small subunit ribosomal RNA", at positions 1003 to 1343 of the family's 1533-position model. The record is from RNAcentral.